Molecule: unclassified non-coding RNA, 1162 nt
Filed under: Penaeus chinensis
Lineage: Eukaryota; Metazoa; Arthropoda; Malacostraca; Decapoda; Penaeidae
Description: ankyrin-3-like, transcript variant X4
Source: RNAcentral
CCCUGCUUCAGGCAUGACGCCGCUCCACUUGGCGUCCUGGGGCGGGCACGCAGAGGUCAUCAAGGUCCUGCUUGGCGGAGGCGCAAAGGGUGAUGCAAGGACCAAAGAAGGCAUGACGGCGGUCCACCUGGCGAGUAUGGGCGGCCACGUGUCCUCGAUGGAGGCGCUGACGCCCACGUGUGACAUCCUUUCAGUCACUCGCGAAAGGAAGUCGGCGCUCCACCUGGCGGCCGAGUACGGAAACUUGGGCGCUGUCGAAUGGCUGCAUCGACAAGGGCUUGACUCUUCUUUAAAGGAUCAUUCAGGCCAGACGCCUCUCCAGUACGCAAAGGACGAGGGGCACAAGAAGGUGGUGGAGUUCCUCAAACGCCAUGAUCAACAGACCCUCAACCGGCGUUGGGAAAAGCAACGUUCACCAGAAGCACUUGCACAGGGAGCUGGGACUAGGGAUGAGGAGGCAGUGAGGAAACCCCUCGACCAGAGAGUGAACCCUGAGAGACCAGGCGACUUGGAAGGAGAGAAAGGGAGCCCAGACUUGCACACCGCUGCUUCUGUGGGUCACGUGAAUGUCAUGCGGGACCUCCUGAAGGCGGGAGCUCCAAACGACACGAUUAACGAAAUGGGUCUUCAGGCUGUGCACUGUGCGGCGAAGGGCGGCCACAUCGAGGCGCUGAAGCUCCUGAAGGAGAGUGGAUGCGAUUUAACGACCAGGACACCCCAAGGCGCCACGACCCUCCACUGCGCGGCCGAGGGCGGGCACGUGGCGGCGGUGCAGUGGCUUCUCGACCACGGCAGCCUCAGUCUCGAUUCCCUCAACAACGACGGAGACACUGCCCUCGAUGUGGCUCGAAAAAACGGCCAACAUACCGCCACCGCCCAUUUGCAAGAGGCCAAACACCAAAGAGACAUGAAGAAGCUGCAAGAUGAGAUGAAGGAGAAAGAACAAGAGAAUACAAGACUGGCUGCAGAACUGAAGAUGAAGAAGAACUCGAAAAGGCCAAACACGAAAGAGACAUGAAGAAGCUGCAAGAUGAGAUGAAGGAGAAAGAACAAGAGAUUACAAAACUGGCUGCAGAACUGAAGAUCAAAGAAGAACUGGAAAAGGAAGAAAUGAAGAAAUUGCAAGCGAUGUUGAAGAGCAAAGAUGAAGAAAUUGAGCGAA